This 530-nucleotide long non-coding RNA is filed under the name Mus spicilegus (steppe mouse). RNAcentral's name for it is "lncRNA (ENSMSIG00000010199.1)". The record is from RNAcentral. Lineage: Eukaryota; Metazoa; Chordata; Mammalia; Rodentia; Muridae.
GCAGGAUCCUAAACCAUACCUCAUAAGAACUGUUCUCAGGUGUUCUGACCCCUUGUCCUUCUUGCCAAGCCCUCAUUGGAAAAGAGCCUAUAGGGAGCCAUGGCCUCGGGGGUCAAUGAACCUCGCAAAGUGAAUUCCAAGGCAGGACAAAGUCCAAGGCAGGCCCUCUACGAUGGUUCCCCAGCAGGACACGGAGCGCAAGUUAUGAUGCCCUGGGAUGAUCAGGAGUCCUGAAGUGUGUGAGUUGAGGGGCUGUUUGAAGGAAUAGGAAGCCAACUUCUGAGAUGCUGCCUAGAAACUCAGGCUUAAAUCAGAAAUCUCCAAUGAGCUCCCAGGUACUCCGGUCCUAACUUGGGCGCUGAAACCACAUGGGGUUACAGUGAGAGGAUGAGAUGGCUCAGUGGAUGAGAAAUAGAGAGGCAACCAGAUAAGGCUGUCUGAAGGGGAUGGGGUUGCCGGCAGGCUGGAGAGGUACUCGGUACUCCAUAGAGAGGCUGUGUGUUUCUGACACCUUGUCUUGUGGGGCAGGA